GACGUAGGGUCCGAGCGUUGUCCGGAAUUACUGGGCGUAAAGCGCGCGCAGGCGGUUGGUCGCAUCGGCGGUGAAAGCCCCCCGCUCAACGGGGGAGGGUCCGUCGAGAUGGGCCGACUGGAGGCAGGGAGAGGUCAGUGGAAUUCCCAGUGUAGAGGUGAAAUUCGUAGAUAUUGGGAAGAACACCGGUGGCGAAGGCGGCUCACUGGCUCAUUACUGACGCUCAGGCGCGAUAGCGUGGGGAUCAAACAGG
This 253-nucleotide ribosomal RNA is filed under the name uncultured bacterium. RNAcentral describes it as "partial 16S ribosomal RNA". It matches the Rfam family "Bacterial small subunit ribosomal RNA", at positions 524 to 776 of the family's 1533-position model. The record is from RNAcentral.